Molecule: ribosomal RNA, 427 nt
Filed under: uncultured bacterium
Lineage: Bacteria
Description: partial 16S ribosomal RNA
Rfam family: Bacterial small subunit ribosomal RNA
Source: RNAcentral
GUGGGGAAUAUUGGGCAAUGGGGGCAACCCUGACCCAGCGACGCCGCGUGAGGGAAGAAGGCCUUAGGGUCGUAAACCUCUGUUGUGUGGGAAGAAGGAAGUGACGGUACCACACGAGGAAGUCCCGGCUAACUACGUGCCAGCAGCCGCGGUAAUACGUAGGGGACGAGCGUUGUCCGGAAUUACUGGGCGUAAAGGGCGCGUAGGCGGUCAUUUAAGUCAGCGGUGAAAUGGUCCGGCUCAACCGGAUCAUGCGGUUGAAACUGGAUGACUGGAGUGCUGGAGAGGCAAGUGGAAUUCCCAGUGUAGCGGUGAAAUGCGUAGAUAUUGGGAAGAACACCGGUGGCGAAGGCGACUUGCUGGCCAGCAACUGACGCUGAGGCGCGAAAGCCAGGGGAGCAAACGGGAUUAGAAACCCUUGUAGUCC